GGCGCCGUACCCAAGUGGCUAAGGGAGCGGUCUGCAAAACCGUUAUCACCAGUUCGAUUCUGGUCGGCGCCUCCA
Molecule: transfer RNA, 75 nt
Filed under: Armatimonadota bacterium
Lineage: Bacteria; Bacillati; Armatimonadota
Description: Armatimonadetes bacterium tRNA-Cys
Rfam family: tRNA
About the family: Transfer RNA (tRNA) molecules are approximately 80 nucleotides in length. Their secondary structure includes four short double-helical elements and three loops (D, anti-codon, and T loops). Further hydrogen bonds mediate the characteristic L-shaped molecular structure. tRNAs have two regions of fundamental functional importance: the anti-codon, which is responsible for specific mRNA codon recognition, and the 3' end, to which the tRNAs corresponding amino acid is attached (by aminoacyl-tRNA synthetases). tRNAs cope with the degeneracy of the genetic code in two manners: having more than one tRNA (with a specific anti-codon) for a particular amino acid; and 'wobble' base-pairing, i.e. permitting non-standard base-pairing at the 3rd anti-codon position.
Source: RNAcentral